AGGUUUUCUUGUCUUGACCUAGAAAACUAGAAACCACGAGCACCCAGAACAUAGAGUUCCUCCAGGUCAUAGCAAAGCGUGAGGAGUCGAUCCAUCAGUGCCAGCUGCGCUUAGAAGAGAAGACCCGGGAGUGCAGCUCCUUGGCUCGGCAGCUGGAAAUGGCCAUUGAGGAUGCCAAACGACAAGUAAGGGUUUUCUUGUUUGUUGAUUUUCCUGCAGCUACCCAGAGUGUAAAAUGGAAAUGCCUCCCCAGCUUAUGACACGAUUGUUUGCAACAGAAGUAAGAAAAGCCCUGUGCUGACCUACUGCUUAUGUACAGGAAUCUGUCCAAGUAAACGUGCAGGGGGUUUGUGGGCAGUAAGGUAGGGAAGAAUCAGCCUUUCACAGACACCUCUCUGACAAGGCUGUUUUUCUGUUGUUAAAUGCAGGUCGAACAAACUCGAGAACGAGCAACAUCCAGAGAGAGGGCAGCCCAGUCCAAGGUGCUGGAUUUGGAGACCCAGCUGAGUAGGACGAAGACAGAGCUGAACCAACUGCGUCGGAACAAAGAGGACGCAGAGCGCCGCUAUGAGAGCCGCCUGCAGGACUUAAAGGAUCGGCUGGAGCAGUCGGAGAGCACAAAUCGCAGCAUGCAGAACUACGUCCAGUUCCUCAAAUCUUCCUAUGCCAAUGUGUUUGCAGACAGUGCCUUGCUGGGCUCUCCUGGCCGCUCUCGUUCUUCUCCGUGAGGGCAGUGCUUGCUCUGCACCUCUGCUUUUAAGCACAAAAUGAGCCCUCUGUCAAAGCCAUACGGUGUUUAGGAAAUGGGUUGAAAAUGGAGAAGUGUCAGGGUCACUUAAGGGAGGAGUGUUUUCCUUGCAGCAGGGGAUGGUGGAAUGAUGGAGGCACGCAAUCUCAGCAUGCAGAGCAUUAGCAGUGCUGGUUUGCAGAUGGAGGCCGGCGUUACUCUGUAAGCUGUGCCCCAAAACCGGCUGGCUUUGCAUAAAGUGGCAAAGUCCCUUUUCAUCCUAUGAGCUCUGGAUGGUUUCAGCUCUUUAAACCCAGCAGUGGUUUUAGUUGUGUUAAUGUUUGUGGGAGCUGUUUUCCAUGCUUCGUUUUCUCUUUUUUUUUCCCCCCUGUUUUCUGUACUGGGGUUGAUCGUGUGCUAUUCCUCACUGUUGCUAUCAUUUCAUGUGCUGGUGGUGCUGUGGAUGGUGGGAGAGAAGUGCACCCACCUCUCAGGGAAGCGUGAAGCUGAAAAUAAGGGACAGGCCUGGGGCUUCAUGCUUACAGGAGAUGAUCUCCUGAACCACUGUGCUGUUUGUAAGCAGUUUUAUACCAGAAAUAAUGAUUUAGUUGUGUUUGUUUUUUAACUUUGACUCUCGUGUGCUCUGUGAUCCUCGCUUGUUUCGGCAUGAUGCUCAUUUUGCUUUACCCCUCACCCCAAUGCUGUUCUCCUGAGCCUGAACAGCCCCAGCACAGCGCCCCCAAACCAUCUGUGUUCAAAAGGAAGGCUGCAGCUCAGCCUCGGCCGGGUCUCACUGUGAAUGCUGUAUGAAUUCAGCGUGUGCACGGAAUACCCAUCGGCUCAAAGCCCGUUGGAGAGCAGCUGCUGCUCAGUGCCUUCAUCAACCCCACCUGUGUGUCCUGCAGCUCUGUGCCGCCCCUCCGCUCCUUCCUUAUGGCUCCUUAUGGGGACGAAGCAAACAUCGCUGUUAUUUCGUAACACUUUUGUAUCCCGUUGCUGCGGCCCCGGCACCGUUUGCCAUGCAGGUUUUCUACGAUAAUCAUUAUGGGAGAGUUCUGUAAUUUUGUGUGCAACUUUUUACAAAAAAUAAAUCCUAAAGGUGCU
RNAcentral lists this long non-coding RNA (1831 nucleotides) under Gallus gallus (chicken). RNAcentral describes it as "long non-coding RNA NONGGAT003089". Lineage: Eukaryota; Metazoa; Chordata; Aves; Galliformes; Phasianidae. The record is from RNAcentral.